This 289-nucleotide ribosomal RNA is filed under the name Penaeus monodon (black tiger shrimp). Its description in RNAcentral is "partial 16S ribosomal RNA". Lineage: Eukaryota; Metazoa; Arthropoda; Malacostraca; Decapoda; Penaeidae. The record is from RNAcentral.
GAUGGUUGGACAAAAAGUAAGCUGUCUCAAUUAUAAUAAUUGAACUUAACUUUUAAGUGAAAAGGCUUAAAUAAAUUAAGGGGACGAUAAGACCCUAUAAAGCUKGACAAUAAUUUAAUUAUACUAUCAAUUGUUAGUGUAACUUGGUUUUAGUUAAAAUUUGUUGCGUUGGGGCGACGAGAAUAUAAUAGGUAACUGUUCUUAAAUAUUUAAUAACAAAUAUAAUUGAAAAUUAGUGUGAUCCUCUAUUAGCGAUUAAAAGAUUAAGUUACUUUAGGGAUAACAGCGU